UACAGAGGGGGCAAGCGUUGUUCGGAAUUACUGGGCGUAAAGGGCGCGUAGGCGGCCUUCUAAGUCGAACGUGAAAUCCCUGGGCUCAACCCAGGAACUGCGUCCGAUACUGGAAGGCUUGAGUCCGGGAGAGGGAUGCGGAAUUCCAGGUGUAGCGGUGAAAUGCGUAGAGAUCAGGAAGAACAUCGGUGGCGAAGGCGCUCUGCUGGACCAUAACUGACACUCAGGGACGAAAGCUAGGGGAGCGAAUGGG
Molecule: ribosomal RNA, 253 nt
Filed under: uncultured bacterium
Lineage: Bacteria
Description: partial 16S ribosomal RNA
Rfam family: Bacterial small subunit ribosomal RNA
Source: RNAcentral